AUGCUGUGGAUAAAUAGAGCUUCCCUUAAAAAUUCUUUUUUCAGUCAAAAAUCUAAAAUGCAUUUUCUCAAAACUUUUUUAUUUCUUGUAUUAUUUUUAUACCUAGGUGGGAUUUUUCUUGCCUUUGGAAAAAAUAAAUCUCUUACCAGAGAUAUGAAAAAUUCAGCUGAAUUUAUUUAUGGCCCUGGUAAAGGUCUUUUCAUGCUCUACAAUGACAAUAUUUUUACAAAACCUACAGCUUUACCUUUCAUAAAGCACCGGCAAGAGGAAAGAAAUGACAGUAAGACUGAAUUAUGA
Molecule: long non-coding RNA, 297 nt
Filed under: Pan troglodytes (chimpanzee)
Lineage: Eukaryota; Metazoa; Chordata; Mammalia; Primates; Hominidae
Description: lncRNA (ENSPTRG00000053347.1)
Source: RNAcentral